AGAAAGAUGCCUGAUUAAAGGAUUAUUCUGAUAGAAUAAAAUAAGUGAAUAAAAACACUCUUUCCA
RNAcentral lists this transfer RNA (66 nucleotides) under Bambusiphaga furca. RNAcentral describes it as "tRNA-Ile". Lineage: Eukaryota; Metazoa; Arthropoda; Insecta; Hemiptera; Delphacidae. The record is from RNAcentral.